RNAcentral lists this ribosomal RNA (2357 nucleotides) under Klebsiella aerogenes. Its description in RNAcentral is "partial 23S ribosomal RNA". It matches the Rfam family "Bacterial large subunit ribosomal RNA", at positions 590 to 2925 of the family's 2925-position model. Lineage: Bacteria; Pseudomonadati; Pseudomonadota; Gammaproteobacteria; Enterobacterales; Enterobacteriaceae. The record is from RNAcentral.
GGUGUGACUGCGUACCUUUUGUAUAAUGGGUCAGCGACUUAUAUUCUGUAGCAAGGUUAACCGUAUAGGGGAGCCGCAGGGAAACCGAGUCUUAACUGGGCGUUAAGUUGCAGGGUAUAGACCCGAAACCCGGUGAUCUAGCCAUGGGCAGGUUGAAGGUUGGGUAACACUAACUGGAGGACCGAACCGACUAAUGUUGAAAAAUUAGCGGAUGACUUGUGGCUGGGGGUGAAAGGCCAAUCAAACCGGGAGAUAGCUGGUUCUCCCCGAAAGCUAUUUAGGUAGCGCCUCGUGAAUUCAUCUUCGGGGGUAGAGCACUGUUUCGGCUAGGGGGUCAUCCCGACUUACCAACCCGAUGCAAACUACGAAUACCGAAGAAUGUUAUCACGGGAGACACACGGCGGGUGCUAACGUCCGUCGUGAAGAGGGAAACAACCCAGACCGCCAGCUAAGGUCCCAAAGUCACAGUUAAGUGGGAAACGAUGUGGGAAGGCACAGACAGCCAGGAUGUUGGCUUAGAAGCAGCCAUCAUUUAAAGAAAGCGUAAUAGCUCACUGGUCGAGUCGGCCUGCGCGGAAGAUGUAACGGGGCUAAACUGUGCACCGAAGCUGCGGCAGCGACACUAUGUGUUGUUGGGUAGGGGAGCGUUCUGUAAGCCUGCGAAGGUGGCCUGUGAGGGUUGCUGGAGGUAUCAGAAGUGCGAAUGCUGACAUAAGUAACGAUAAUGCGGGUGAAAAGCCCGCACGCCGGAAGACCAAGGGUUCCUGUCCAACGUUAAUCGGGGCAGGGUGAGUCGACCCCUAAGGCGAGGCCGAAAGGCGUAGUCGAUGGGAAACAGGUUAAUAUUCCUGUACUUGGUGUUACUGCGAAGGGGGGACGGAGAAGGCUAUGUUAGCCGGGCGACGGUUGUCCCGGUUUAAGCAUGUAGGCGGAGGUUCCAGGUAAAUCCGGUACCUUUUAACGCUGAGGUGUGAUGACGAGGCACUACGGUGCUGAAGUAACAAAUGCCCUGCUUCCAGGAAAAGCCUCUAAGCAUCAGGUAACAUUGAAUCGUACCCCAAACCGACACAGGUGGUCAGGUAGAGAAUACCAAGGCGCUUGAGAGAACUCGGGUGAAGGAACUAGGCAAAAUGGUGCCGUAACUUCGGGAGAAGGCACGCUGAUAUGUAGGUGAAGCCCCUGCGGGUGGAGCUGAAAUCAGUCGAAGAUACCAGCUGGCUGCAACUGUUUAUUAAAAACACAGCACUGUGCAAACACGAAAGUGGACGUAUACGGUGUGACGCCUGCCCGGUGCCGGAAGGUUAAUUGAUGGGGUUAUCCGUAAGGAGAAGCUCUUGAUCGAAGCCCCGGUAAACGGCGGCCGUAACUAUAACGGUCCUAAGGUAGCGAAAUUCCUUGUCGGGUAAGUUCCGACCUGCACGAAUGGCGUAAUGAUGGCCAGGCUGUCUCCACCCGAGACUCAGUGAAAUUGAACUCGCUGUGAAGAUGCAGUGUACCCGCGGCAAGACGGAAAGACCCCGUGAACCUUUACUAUAGCUUGACACUGAACAUUGAGCCUUGAUGUGUAGGAUAGGUGGGAGGCUUUGAAGCGUGGACGCCAGUCUGCGUGGAGCCAACCUUGAAAUACCACCCUUUAAUGUUUGAUGUUCUAACGUUGGCCCCUUAUCGGGGUUGCGGACAGUGUCUGGUGGGUAGUUUGACUGGGGCGGUCUCCUCCCAAAGAGUAACGGAGGAGCACGAAGGUUAGCUAAUCCUGGUCGGACAUCAGGAGGUUAGUGCAAUGGCAUAAGCUAGCUUGACUGCGAGCGUGACGGCGCGAGCAGGUGCGAAAGCAGGUCAUAGUGAUCCGGUGGUUCUGAAUGGAAGGGCCAUCGCUCAACGGAUAAAAGGUACUCCGGGGAUAACAGGCUGAUACCGCCCAAGAGUUCAUAUCGACGGCGGUGUUUGGCACCUCGAUGUCGGCUCAUCACAUCCUGGGGCUGAAGUAGGUCCCAAGGGUAUGGCUGUUCGCCAUUUAAAGUGGUACGCGAGCUGGGUUUAGAACGUCGUGAGACAGUUCGGUCCCUAUCUGCCGUGGGCGCUGGAGAAUUGAGGGGGGCUGCUCCUAGUACGAGAGGACCGGAGUGGACGCAUCACUGGUGUUCGGGUUGUCAUGCCAAUGGCAUUGCCCGGUAGCUAAAUGCGGAAGAGAUAAGUGCUGAAAGCAUCUAAGCACGAAACUUGCCCCGAGAUGAGUUCUCCCUGAGACUUUAAGUCUCCUGAAGGAACGUUAAAGACGAUGACGUUGAUAGGUCGGGUGUGUAAGCGUAGCGAUACGUUGAGCUAACCGAUACUAAUGAACCGUGAGGCUUAACCUU